RNAcentral lists this long non-coding RNA (353 nucleotides) under Salvator merianae (Argentine black and white tegu). RNAcentral's name for it is "lncRNA (ENSSMRG00000019817.1)". The record is from RNAcentral. Lineage: Eukaryota; Metazoa; Chordata; Lepidosauria; Squamata; Teiidae.
GAGGAGGAGGAGGAGGAGGAGGAGGAGGAGGAGGAAGAUGACCAGGAUAUGUACGAACUCCCUCCUAGUGAAGCUCAGCCCAAGACCAUGAUCCUACCCAGACCGCAGGAGGCUGCCGAAAACAUUUAUCUGGAUCACCCGACCCUNAGGCGCUUCUCUGACCCCAACAGCAUCUCUCAGUCAAAACCACCCGAGGUAACUUCGAAAGCUGGCUCCAGCGAUCAUGGCGGUGAAGCAUCGUUCAACCUCCAGGCCAUUGAAAGAGCUCUGAAAAAAGGAAUUAUGAAGCCUACUGCACUGCCCCCUCUGUCUCUUGCAGCUCGCCGGGUUUCUUUGCCUGUCCUUGGCCCCUC